RNAcentral lists this long non-coding RNA (4628 nucleotides) under Sus scrofa (pig). Its description in RNAcentral is "lncRNA (ENSSSCG00000052363.1)". The record is from RNAcentral. Lineage: Eukaryota; Metazoa; Chordata; Mammalia; Artiodactyla; Suidae.
CUAUGAGGGUGCUGUAGAAUUGGUGCUAUAAAAGCUUAUCACAGAGAUACUUGAUCUGGUCAGCAGGGUCAGAGAAGUUUUCCUAAGGAUGCUUGCUCUGAUAGCAAAAGGAUGAGAAAUUGAUAAGAUGAAGUAGAAUAAGAAAGAAUAUUUGAGGCAGAAGAGCAUUUCUAAGUCCUUUUGGGAGAAGACUUCCUGAUGAGUAUGUGGUUCUAUCAGAAAGUCCAGUACAGCCAGAGUAUGGAGGAUAGCAAGGGGGUGUUGGGAAAGUGUGGUGAAAGGUGAGACCCAAGAGGUAGAUGGGACCAAACCGUGCAUGAAGUCAAAAGCAUUUUAAGAAUGAAAGAGUGAUGUGAUCAUAGUUUACAUUUUUAUGCAAUCAAUUCAGCUAUAAUAGAAAAGGUAGAGGAGGUGGGCAGAGUGUCUGUGAAUAGACCAGUUAUGAGGCAAUUAUAGACACAGUUGGAGAAAUAACUUUGAUUAGUGAUAGAAGAGAUGGAGAGAAAAGACAGAUUCAAGAGCUGUUUAGAAGAGGAAAAACAGCAUUUUUUUUUUUUUUUUUUUUUUUGAAGUAGACCAUUGGAUACAUGAAUUUGAGGCUCAGAGUAGAGGUCUGGACCGGUGAUAUGAUGGUAAGUUAUCUGGGUGUUGGUAGUCAUUGAUGCCAUGAAAAUUGUUGAGAAAUCUGGUCCCUGGUAUGUCACCUGAGUAUGAAUCAUCUGCAUUCUGUUACAGUUAUUCCAUCAAUGGCUGGCAAGAGGGUAGGUUAUGUAAGGUGAGUGUCUGCCAGAAUUUGAUGGACAGAGAAAGACAGGGAUGGUAUUUUGUUCACAUUUUGCAAAAUGAAAAUGCAAUAUUACUUACAUUUUUAUUGAAACCUUACCACUUUAUUAAUAAAUCUCACAUUUUCAAAGGUUGUACAUGGGCUGCAACAAUUUCUGUGGUUAGAUCAUCUCACUUUGCAUUCCAUUAAUAGGCUGAAGUUCAUCCUAAGUAAUUUACCAUAGAGUUUUCAUAUUGGUGUUUAUCUUUGCUAAAAUUGUGGCAGCCAUGGCGGCAUGCUGCUUGGAUCAUUUUUCAGGAAAGAAUUUACUAUUCAGUGGCAAGGAGAGUGGUUAACUGACAGCGUCCAGUUGUUAGCACCUUUAGGAUCUGCCUUUGCCUCUCAGCAGAGGAACACUCUUCCUGGGCAGCACACUCCAGCCAUGACUGAGCAUGGACUGAGUACUAGGGCCUGGGACUCCUCUAACGAGAAAUCUUUACUCUGGAGCUUGCUAUUGGGUUAGCCGUGACUUUGUCAGAUUUGCAUUGUGGUUGGACGACCUCCUUGCCCAGUCCUGCUUCCUCUCCACCUCCUUUCCUUUCAGAGAUGUCUGAUGGCCAUCAUGGGUUUAAGAUUUUCCUUGCCCAAUCCUGCUUCCAUCUCCUCUUAUCUAUUGCCCCCAAUAAACCUUUACACUUCCAUCUUCAUUUCAGCAUCUGGUUUCCAGAGGAUCCCACUGACGACUAUAGCAGCUUUACAUUCCCAAUCAUGAAUGUGGAUCAAUCAUUCAAAAAUGGAUCACUGAAGAAAAAAAAGUGAUAAAAAUAAGCACACUAUACCAGUAGAAUACACUUAAACCCCUUUCAAGACUCCAAAUUCUCAUCAAAACAUGGCAACAGACUGAAAAUACAAGAUUUAUGAUCUCCAGGAGAUUCAGAUGCUUCACCUUGGGUGUGGCCCCCUCUUGUAUGGAGACAUACAUUAAACUGUGAGUAUCUACCUCACUCCUACAGUUCCACAUGGACUGGUGAGACAGAGACUUGAUAAAUACAAUAGAUACUUUUAGCAUUGGAGACGUAUAACAGUCAUUGAUUUGUUUUCAGCUGCUGCAUAGAAAUUAUCACAUACUUAGCAUCUUAGAACAACACAUACAAGCUACCUCACAGUUUCCAUGCGUCAAGAGUCUGGGUAUGAAUUAGGUGAGUCCUCCACUCAAGGUCUCACCAGGCUGAACUCAAGGCAUUGGGUUGGGUUACGAUCUCAUUUAAGUUGCAGGGUGCCCUUCCAAGUUCACUGAUUUUUGGAAGAAUUCAACUCCUGGUGAUUAUAGUACUGAAAUCCUGCCCUCUCGGUGGCUGUAGGCUGGAGACUGCUCUCACCACCUAGAUGUUGCUCUCAGUUCCUUGCCGUAUAGCCCCAUACAUAGUUGUUCACAACAGUGGUAUUUUCUUUCUUAAGAUCAGCAGGGGACUCUCAUUUUGAAUCCUCCCUUUAGGAAAGGCUCAAUCAUUCUUUUAGAGCUCACUUGGUUAGGCUAGACUUGGGGAUAAUCUCUUUUUUAAAAAAACCCUCAAAGUCAACUGAUUAGUAACCUAAUCACACCCUAUUUCUUAGUCCCUUCUAUACUCGAUGAGAGGGGAUUAUACAGGGUGUAUAGUUUUACCAGAAAUUCAUAUAUAUUGACAAGUGUCAUAUCUUCUUCUUGAAUAGAUCCUUUUAUCAUUAAAUAGUGUCCUUCAUUGUCUUUUUUUAUGGCCUUCAUUUUAAAGUCUAUUUUGUCUGAUAUGAGUAUUGCAACUUCUGCCUUCCUGCCUUUUUCUCUUGCAUCAAAUACCUUUUUCCAUCCCCUCACUUGCAAUUUAUAUGAGUCCUUUGCCCUAAGGUGAGUCUCUUGCAGGCAAGUAUUGCAGGCUCUUGUUUUUUUUUUAGUCCAGUCUGCCACUCUAUAUCUUUUGGUCCAUUGAUGCUUAUGGUAAUUAUCGAUAAAUUUGUAUUUAUUGACAAUUUAAACCUUGUUUUCCAGUUGAUUCUAUGUUUCUCUUUUGUUCCUUUCUUAUUUUGGUUGGAUGAUUUCCUUUUAUUUUAUGCUUGUGUCUUCUUUUUAGUUUUUGUGUAUGUAUGCUUUGGUUUUGAUUUGUGGUUGCCCUGUUUUUCAAGUAUGUUAACCCCUUCUUAUAUCUGCUUGCUUUAACCUGAUAGUUAUAUAGGCUCAAACACAUUCUAGAAAAAAAUAAUCUAGAUUUUCUCACUUUCUCCCCCCACAUUUUAUGAUUUUGAGGUCCUUUUUUAACAACUUCAUAUUUAUCCUUUUGCUAUCCCUUUUGUUUUUCAUCACUUUUACAAUAGUUUUUUUUUUCUUUUAGUUCUGUAUAGUGGCUUAUUUAGUUCUGUAUAGUGGCAAAUUAUUCACAGAAAUGGAAAUAUUAAUUGCUUUUAAAUAUAUGACAAGAUGCAAUAUAACCCUAUGCAGUGGUAGCCAGGAAUGGGAAAACUAUAUAUUGAUAGGGAAAUAUCUCCAAGGAAUUUUGCUAAGUGAAAAAAAAAAAAAGUACAGGAGUUCCUGUCAUGGCUCAGUGGUUAACAAAUCCAACUAGGAACCAUGAAGUUGCGGGUUUGAUCCCUGGCCUUGCUCAGUGGGUUAAGGAUCUGGCAUUGCCGUGAGCUGUGGUGUAGGUUGCAGAUGCGGCUUGGAUCCCGUGUUGCUGUGGCUCUGGCGUAGGCUGGUGGCCACAGCUUUGAUUGAGCCUCUAGCCUGGGAACCUCCAUGUGCCAUGGGAGCAGCCCUAGAAAAGGCAAAAAGACAAAAAAAAAAAAAAGUACAGAAACCUGGAUAAUAUAGUACAUAUGCUUUAAAGAAAUGAGAGUAUAUAUAUCCUUGUGAUGUAUAAAGAGCUUUAUAAGAAUAUCUCAAAAAUCUAGUCAAAGUGGGAAAGUAGAAGUCAUUAGAAUUAGGCAGAUAAGAAAGGGACUGUGGAGGGAAAAUAAAACUUUACUUUUAAUAUUUUUUUAUUUUUGAGCCAUCCAACUAUAUUGUGUAUUCAAAAAUAAAUUAAUGAAAAUAAAUAAUAAAGGAAGUUGAACUUGAAAGAAAAAGCUAGAGGGCACAGCCAGUGCCAGUAACAUUCCUAUUUCUGUUAUCACCACACAUCUCCCCUGGUAUUUUAAAGAUGACCAGAAUGCUGAGAGAGAAGCUUACCGAUCUUCUGGUGUCUUCUUUCUAACCACCCCUUUUAACUCCAUUGGUAUUUUCAAAGCUAGCACCUUGCCAGAAAUGAAGUGUACACAUGCUUCAGGCGGGAAGUGAUGGUCAAUUUUAAUUUUUGUUCCAAUAGUAUGCUUGUUCCUUAUACAUGUCCGCACUCAGAUAAAAUUAGAACUCCAAGGAAAGAAUUAAAGAUAAUGACUGGUCUGGUAGAAGCAAGGUACCAAAGGUUUAAAUCAGUAGAAAAGAAAACAAACAAACAAACAAACUGAUGACUGCAAUAUGUUAGAACAGAGAAAAAUAAAUCACAACAAUAAAGAGUAAUACUAUAAAACAGGGUGGAAGUUGUAAGACUAAAAAUUAUAGUCAACAGAAUAAAUAGGAAACUGUAAAAUCUCUCUGGAAAUAUUUGGCACACAGCUAUGCUGCUUGGUUGAUUCAGAGUGAAAAUUUAAACCAUCAUUGGGCCACACAGGGAUGAGCCAUGGGGGGAGUAAAAAUCGGGCCAAGAUGCUCCUUAGGAGCAAACUUGGAAUUUGCCUUUAAUCACAAACAGAUGGGCCAUUGAGGGCCCAUGUUUCUGCUCCAUAUAGCACAGACUCAAUAAUUUCAUUCUGUGAAAUGUUUAAGGAAGGUGUAACUAAAAGCCCAGUGCAGCACAUU